AAUGAACGCUGGCGGCGUGCUUAACACAUGCAAGUCGAACGAGAAUCUGUGGAUCGAGGAUUCGUCCAAGUGAAGCAGAGGACAGUGGCGGACGGGUGAGUAACGCGUGAGGAACCUGCCUUUCAGAGGGGGACAACAGUUGGAAACGACUGCUAAUACCGCAUGAUACAUUUGGGUGGCAUCAUCUGAAUGUCAAAGAUUUAUCGCUGAAAGAUGGCCUCGCGUCUGAUUAGCUGGUUGGUGAGGUAACGGCCCACCAAGGCGACGAUCAGUAGCCGGACUGAGAGGUUGACCGGCCACAUUGGGACUGAGAUACGGCCCAGACUCCUACGGGAGGCAGCAGUGGGGAAUAUUGGGCAAUGGGCGCAAGCCUGACCCAGCAACGCCGCGUGAAGGAAGAAGGCUUUCGGGUUGUAAACUUCUUUUAAAAGGGAAGAGCAGAAGACUGUACCUCUAGAAUAAGCCACGGCUAACUACGUGCCAGCAGCCGCGGUAAUACGUAGGUGGCAAGCGUUGUCCGGAUUUACUGGGUGUAAAGGGCGUGUAGCCGGGAAUGCAAGUCAGAUGUGAAAUCCAUGGGCUUAACCCAUGAACUGCAUUUGAAACUGUAUUUCUUGAGUACUGGAGAGGCAAUCGGAAUUCCUAGUGUAGCGGUGAAAUGCGUAGAUAUUAGGAGGAACACCAGUGGCGAAGGCGGAUUGCUGGACAGCAACUGACGGUGAGGCGCGAAAGUGUGGGGAGCAAACAGGAUUAGAUACCCUGGUAGUCCACACUGUAAACGAUGAAUACUAGGUGUGCGGGGACUGAC
RNAcentral lists this ribosomal RNA (808 nucleotides) under uncultured bacterium. Its description in RNAcentral is "bacterial SSU rRNA". It matches the Rfam family "Bacterial small subunit ribosomal RNA", at positions 28 to 835 of the family's 1533-position model. The record is from RNAcentral.